This 487-nucleotide ribosomal RNA is filed under the name uncultured soil bacterium. Its description in RNAcentral is "bacterial SSU rRNA". It matches the Rfam family "Bacterial small subunit ribosomal RNA", at positions 26 to 517 of the family's 1533-position model. The record is from RNAcentral.
AGGACGAACGCUGGCGGCGUGCUUAACACAUGCAAGUCGAACGGAAAGGCCCUGCUUUUGUGGGGUGCUCGAGUGGCGAACGGGUGAGUAACACGUGAGUAACCUGCCCUUGACUUUGGGAUAACUUCAGGAAACUGGGGCUAAUACCGGAUAGGAGCUCCUGCUGCAUGGUGGGGGUUGGAAAGUUUCGGCGGUUGGGGAUGGACUCGCGGCUUAUCAGCUUGUUGGUGGGGUAGUGGCUUACCAAGGCUUUGACGGGUAGCCGGCCUGAGAGGGUGACCGGCCACAUUGGGACUGAGAUACGGCCCAGACUCCUACGGGAGGCAGCAGUGGGGAAUAUUGCACGAAUGGGCGGAAGCCUGAUGCAGCAACGCCGCGUGCGGGAUGACGGCCUUCGGGUUCGUAAACCGGCUUUCGCCGUGUGACGAAGCGUGAGUGACGGUAAUGGGUAAAGAAGCGUAACCGGCUAACUACGUGCCAGCAGCCG